CGUAACAAGGUAGCCGUAGGUGAACCUUCGGCUGGAUCAUUAUCGAUUCUAUAACCUUUAAUCGUUCUUCGGAACACCUUAUAGUUGUUGUUCGUGUCGGUUUCGACUGUCGCGAUAUCAGCACUAUGUUAUCUGCAGUAAAAGCUACGAUUGUGUAGAGGUUUCUAUGCGCUGGCGGAGUUGACGUUGAUCGUGUCGACAAAUGAUGCCAGUCGGCUGCUGUUAUCUUCGGAAGACGGCGUAGGAUUGAAAAGCCCGAGAGGCUGCCUCUACAAACCCUUGUUAUUUAUUUGAUUUUUAUGUAACAUUUGAUAAGUUACUCCGGUGGAUCACUUGGCUCACGGGUCGAUGAAAAACGCAGUGAAUUGCGAUAAUAAGUACGAAUUACCGAUAUUAUGAGUACCAUGUUUUUGAAUGCAUAUUGCGUUCUUGAGCUUUGCUCUUGAACUUAUCCGAUUCAGGGUGUGUUGUAAAACUUCAGUUACAUCAGGUCUUGUUGUUUACGAUGUAACAUAAGUUGAAUGAUUGUCCUCGAGUUGACGUUAUGUUGGCUUUAGGCAAGUUAUGCGGUUCCUUGUGAAUCGUUACUUUGCGGCGUGUGUUCGUUUAACCGCGGACUAAACCAUAAGAUACGAUGUGACGGUUGAUGAUCGUUAUAAGUGCUAGACUUGUUUUUUGCGCUUGAUUGUCGGCUAUUGCGUUGUAGGGCAUCGUGUAAACGUUGCACUUGUGGGCGUCGUUGAGCGUUUGAUUAUAACCACCUGAGUUGGGUAUGAUUACCUGCUGAACUUAAGCAUAUCAGUAAGCAGAGGAAAAGAAACAAACAUGGAUUCUCUAGUAACUGCGAGUGAAA
RNAcentral lists this ribosomal RNA (853 nucleotides) under Bursaphelenchus sp. P3851. Its description in RNAcentral is "eukaryotic LSU rRNA". The stretch from base 314 to 466 matches the Rfam family "5.8S ribosomal RNA". The record is from RNAcentral. Lineage: Eukaryota; Metazoa; Nematoda; Chromadorea; Rhabditida; Aphelenchoididae.